RNAcentral lists this ribosomal RNA (302 nucleotides) under uncultured bacterium. RNAcentral's name for it is "partial 16S ribosomal RNA". It matches the Rfam family "Bacterial small subunit ribosomal RNA", at positions 508 to 807 of the family's 1533-position model. The record is from RNAcentral.
GCAGUAGCCGCGGUAAUACGGAGGAUCCAAGCGUUAUCCGGAAUCAUUGGGUUUAAAGGGUCCGUAGGCGGUCUUGUAAGUCAGUGGUGAAAGCCCAUCGCUCAACGGUGGAACGGCCAUUGAUACUGCAGGACUUGAAUUAUUGGGAAGUAACUAGAAUAUGUAGUGUAGCGGUGAAAUGCUUAGAGAUUACAUGGAAUACCAAUUGCGAAGGCAGGUUACUACCAAUUGAUUGACGCUGAUGGACGAAAGCGUGGGUAGCGAACAGGAUUAGAUACCCCCGUAGUCCCUGUCUCUUAUAC